Molecule: transfer RNA, 77 nt
Filed under: Planctomycetota bacterium
Lineage: Bacteria; Pseudomonadati; Planctomycetota
Also listed under: 1 other name
Description: Planctomycetes bacterium tRNA-His
Rfam family: tRNA
About the family: Transfer RNA (tRNA) molecules are approximately 80 nucleotides in length. Their secondary structure includes four short double-helical elements and three loops (D, anti-codon, and T loops).
Source: RNAcentral
GAGGGUGUAGCUCAGUUGGUCAGAGCGUCUGACUGUGGCUCAGAAGGUCGUGGGUUCGAAUCCCAUCACCCUCCCCA